GUUGAGGUCUGUCCCGAUGGGGCUUUUUCUAUAAACCUAGGUUAUUGGAAAUGCCUCAUAGAGUAAUUAUGUGCUUUCCUUUUCUCUUAGAACUACAUGUUAGAUCUGUGGGGAAGAACUACAAGACAGCU
This 131-nucleotide small nucleolar RNA is filed under the name Catagonus wagneri (Chacoan peccary). Lineage: Eukaryota; Metazoa; Chordata; Mammalia; Artiodactyla; Tayassuidae. The record is from RNAcentral.